Molecule: long non-coding RNA, 439 nt
Organism: Sarcophilus harrisii (Tasmanian devil)
Lineage: Eukaryota; Metazoa; Chordata; Mammalia; Dasyuromorphia; Dasyuridae
Exons: 3
Source: RefSeq, a predicted model, not a curated record
UAACUAAUACCAUUGAUUUAUAUUCAAGAUACAAUGUGGCAGUUUCUUUCAUUUGCCCUAAAUCUACCACUUUAAAUCUUCAAGGGAUAAAGUUCUGGAAUUCUGAGGUAUCUUAACAGUCCCUUUUACCAUGUCAUAAAAUGGCCUUUGAUGACACAAGAAGUUUCCAAAAUCAGUUCAAAAGUUACCAGAAGGAGUGCUGAAGAUAAGCAGAGAUUCCAGAAAGUGUUGGUAUCGAAGCAAGCAGCUUCCCGCCCAGCAGGUGAUGAAGAGAAGUACAGAUAGUGAUGAAUGCAUUAUACAAAUAGUUCCAGAUGUACUCAAAUAUGAGUUAACCCUACUGCAGAAAACAGAGCCAGUAAAUGGAAGAAAACCGAUUUUCAUGAAGAUUUUGACUGAGAAGCUUAAAUAAAAUGAAUACCACCCAGAGAACCACUUG